Long non-coding RNA from Oncorhynchus tshawytscha (Chinook salmon), 4998 nucleotides. NCBI's taxonomy places the organism in Eukaryota, Metazoa, Chordata, Actinopteri, Salmoniformes, Salmonidae. The record is from Ensembl.
GUCACUCUCACAGACACACGCACACAGUCACUCUCACAGACACACGCACACAGUCACUCUCACAGACACACGCACACAGUCACUCUCACAGACACAGUCACUCACAGACUCACAGACACAAUCACUCUCACAGACACACAGACAGUCACUCUCACAGACACCCAGACACACACACAGUCACUCUCAGACACACACACACAGUCGCUCUCACAGACACACACAGUCGCUCUCACAGACACACACAGUCGCUCUCACAGACACACAGUCGCUCUCACACACACACAGUCGCUCUCACAGACACACAGUCGCUCUCACAGACACACAGUCGCUCUCAGACACACACAGUCGCUCUCACAGACACACACAGUCGCUCUCUCACACACACAGUCGCUCUCUCACACACACAGUCGCUCUCACAGACACACACACACACACAGAGGUACUCUCUCACACACACACACAGAGGUACUCUCUCUCACACACACACAGAGGUACUCUCUCACACACACACACAGAGGUACUCUCUCUCACACACACACAGAGGUACUCUCUCUCACACACACACAGAGGUAGAGAGGUACUCUCUCUCACACACACACACAGAGGUACUCUCUCUCACACACACACACAGAGGUACUCUCUCUCUCACACACACACAGAGGUACUCUCUCUCUCACACACACACAGAGGUACUCUCUCUCUCACACACACACAGAGGUACUCUCUCUCUCACACACACACAGAGGUACUCUCUCUCACACACACACACACACACAGAGGUACUCUCUCUCUCACACACACACACACAGAGGUACUCUCUCACGGACACACACAGAGGUAGUCUCACGGACACACACACAGGUACUCUCACGGACACACACAGAGGUACUCUCACAGUCGCGCGUGCACACAGAGACAGACGGACAGUCGCGCACAGACACAGACAGUCGCGCACAGACACAGACAGUCGCGCACAGACACAGACAGUCGCGCACAGACACAGACAGUCGCGCACAGACACAGACAGUCGCACAGACACACAGUCACUCGCACAGACACACACAGUCACUCGCACAGACACACACAGUCACUCGCAGACAGCACACACAGUCACUCGCACAGACACACAGUCACUCGCACAGACACACACAGUCACUCGCACAGACACACAGUCACUCGCACAGACACACACAGUCACUCGCACAGACACACAGUCACUCGCACAGACACACAGUCACUCGCACAGACACACACAGUCACUCGCACAGACACACACAGUCACUCGCACAGACACACACAGUCACUCGCACAGACACACACAGUCACUCGCACAGACACACACAGUCACUCGCACAGACACACACAGUCACUCGCACAGACACACACAGUCACUCUCACACAGUCACUCUCACAGACACACAGUCACUCUCACACAGUCACUCUCACAGACACACACACACACACACACAGAGGUCACUCUCACAGACACACAGUCACUCUCACACACACAGUCACUCUCACAGACACAGACACACAGUCACACACACACACAGAGGUACUCUCACAGACACACACACACACACACACACAGUCACACAGUCACAGACACAGUCACAGUCACUCACACAGGUACACACAGUCACUCACACACACACACAGUCACUCUCACACACACACACAGUCACUCUCACACACACACACAGUCACUCUCACACACACACACAGUCACUCUCACACACACAGUCACUCUCACACACACACACAGUCACUCUCACACACAGUCACUCCCACAGACACACAGACACACAGUCACACAGUCACACACACACACAGAGGUACUCUCACGGACACACACACACACAGUCACUCACAGACACAGACACACAGUCAGUCAGUCAGUCACUCUCUCUCACACAAACGGUCACUCACACACACACACACACACACACACACACACACACACACACACACACACACACACACACACACACACACACACACAGGUACUCUCACAGUCGCGCGUGCACACACACGCAGACAGUCGCGCGUGCACACAGAGACAGACGGACAGUCGCGCGCGCACGCACAGAGACAGACGGACAGUCGCGCGCGCGCACGCACAGAGACAGAAGGACAGGCGCGCGCGCACACAGGCGCGGACAGGCGCGCGGGCGCGGACAGUCGCGGACAGUCGCGGACAGUCGCGCGCGGACACGCAGUCACUCUCACAGACGCGCACACACACAGUCACUCUCACACUCUCACAGACACACACAGACACACACAGACACACACAGCCAGGCAGUCACUCUCACACAGACGGUCACUCUCACACACACAGAGGUACUCUCACAGUCGCGUGCGCACACACAGUCGCGUGUCGUGGGCACACAGAGACAGACGGACAGUCGCGAGCGUGCGCACACAGAGACAGGCACACACAGCCAGGCGCGUGCGCACGCGCACACACACACACACACACACACACACAGCCAGGCAUGCGCGCGCAGACACAGACACAGUCACAGACACAGGACAGUCAGACCCCCCUCCACUGUCACACUCUGUCUCUCUGUAGUGAUGAUCGAGCACCCCAGUGCCCCUCAAUUGAAGACGUUAACCCUAGAGCUAAGCAAAGAAUAGCCACGGACCCCACCCCCUUCCCAAAGACUUAGGACAGGAUAGGGCGGGCUUUAGGCAGGAAGAGGAUUCUGUGACUGACUGAAACAUUUGAUUACUUUUUCCUUUUUUUCCCCUUUUCACUUCUCUUGAGUGGAGUUAUUGAUUUGUAUGUAUCUAUAAACAAAAAGGAAAUUUGUACAAAAUAUACUUAUACCGCAAAACUCGUACAUAAAGAAGUAUACAAUUGUUUUGCAAUUUUGCUCUAAUUCAGGGGAGAGCAAAAUAAAAAGCAACCUGAAGUUGGAGGAAAAUACCUCCGGGUAUUGUAAUGGAAUAUCUCUACUGUAGCCCUGUUCCCCAGAGGACAUUAAAUCCUGCUGCACAAGUGAUGUCACGUCCUGUGGAAGGGCGGGUAGUGAUGUCUCUGUUGGGAUAUCCAACAAAGUAGUUGACAGGUGAAUAUCACCUGAAUUCUUCAACACCAGAACAGUCAAACUCAAACAAACCUAUAUUUGGAAAUGCUCAGUGCUAUCUGGGAUCCUUGGGACGUGCCUACCCUUAACCCUAAUCUUAAACAUAACCCUUACCUAUUUUAAAUGUCUACUUCAAUGGGGGGGUAUUGACGUCCCAAGGAUUCCGGCUUGCACAGACCAAUUGCCAAAUCUGGGAUUUUUUGGGGGUUUCUCUUUUUAAAUUCUCCCAUUCUUUUAAAAAUGUACUUUAUGUUGAAAUUGAAAAAUAUCUACUUGGCUUGUUCUGGUCCAGGCUGUGGAGCUUCCAGAUUUGCCAUUUUUACUUUUAUGAUUUCGUUUUAUGCACACGUCUGAGAGGUAGUUUUUUUUCUCUCUUCCUGCGGAAAGAGACAGAUACUGAAGACGGGAGUGAGGAUAGAACACGACCUCUGACCUUUGCAGAACUUAACUUUUUUUGUGGUUUUUAUUUUAUUUUGUCACAUCAACAACCUGAAUAAUUGUACAAAAUGCAAUGUGUAUCUCUUAAACAAGUCUCUUGAGAAUAUACAAAUAUAUAUUUCCAUAAUGCCUGUACAAAGCUGCUGCAGCUGACAAGUCAUUGUUGGAACUGGACUCACUCUGCAGAACGAUAACCUACAUACUAUCAAAGACGGACGGAUGGGGUGUUCAGUUUUAAAAAAUGUGUUUUGUCUUUAUUUUUAAACAUUCAUAUGUAUUAUGAUGACAUGCUGAUGAACCUGCUUGUCUAUCUGCAGGGACUAACUGUCAUUUUACCAUCCCAGAGCCGUCCCAGUUGGUCUCCAGGACCUAGGUCUCUGGUCUGGACUUGUUUCCCUCUGUUUAUGACCUGUUCAAACAGUGCACAGCAAAAGCAGGGAAGUUGUUAUUUUCAAUGGAAGCCUGGCAGCAGUAGCAAUGAGGCAUUUCUAGGUGAAGUCUCACCCACGAAAAGUAGGUCCGGUCAUCUGGUCACUACUGUAGAUGGUCAAAUAAGUUGCUACGCUGCCACCACAAGGCAUAAUACUCUUUUGCAGCUGUGUGUUUGAAUGGGCCAUUAGGCUGCUAACUACUGAUAGACAGUGGGUGGGGGGAGGCAGGAGUGGGUUUGGAUUAGGGGAUGAGGUGGGAAAGGGUCUAGUUCAUUGCUAAUGAACAAAACCUUGGGGGGUGUACAGUCAUGAACUAUCCGCCUAGACGGACCGAGCCACUUUAAAGAAUUACAAUUUCUUUGUCUUGUAUCGGAAAACGAUACAAGCUUAUGUUACUUGCAAGAUUUUUACUUGCCGGAGAAAAGUUGUUUUAAAAUAAGAGAAUAGAGAGAAAUAGCAACAGACUGCGUUUUGGCCUCCAAUGUUUAUAUCUUUUUUAUACAUUUUGAUUGAAUUCUUCUCUUUAAGGUGGCUCACUGAUACUUUCAACUCUUGUGCAUAUUAAAAAAUUGAGAAUGAGUUGAAAUUCAUUGACAUUGUGCCUUUUUGUUUUUCAUUUCUACGAAACAAACAAGUUUUUUCUCAGAUGUGUUGUGAACAACAAAAAAAUGCUAGAAGCUGUUGGCGCAUCUGAAAUAGGUGUGUGUGUGAUGUCUCCCUAAUUACUGGAGUUUGCCAUGGGAUUAGUCAAUGCUGCUCUCUGCUGUAGUGAUGGUUCUACUCCUAUAUUUUAUUGGCUGAGCCAUAGAGAUCCUAUUAAUAUUCUAAUUCCUAAUUCUAUGGGCUGAGCAUUGUAACCCAUUAUGACAUAUCCACCCAUACCUACAUUCACCACAAACAAACCCAUCAAUGCCACAUUCUGCUAACCAAUAAUGGGAUUAUGAUAUCACUUCCUCCCAUCUCGCCCUCAGGACAUGGUCUCUGUAUUACUGAUCCUAACCAAAAUAAACUUCCUGUUAGCCGUUGGAUCCUCG